CUCCAGUGAAUUCCAGGGGGCUUAUGCACCCCGACCCCUGCCUUUGCAAUGGGCCAUGGGGGGAGAAAGCUCACCAUUUGAGGCCCACAGUCCCUGCCCCCCUAACCUUCCUCGGUACGUGGCCCAGGGCCUGGCCUCUCCUGUCACUCCCCUCUCCUGUGGCUGGAGUCUGAUCCCUUCCCACAGAGGAGGGGCUCCCUAGGGGCCUGGCCCAAUCCACUACCUUCCAGACCUUCCAUCUGCUGCAGGAACCACACUCACUGAUGUGCAGUGCAACCUAGAAACCUUUGCCGAGAGGAAGCAUCAUUGCAUCCACGUGGGAAGAUGGCUGGCUGGGCAGGGAUCUUGAAGAUGUCAAGCACAUCUCUCACCUGGAACUAACUGUGCCUCUUUGAACGUUAAGCAAACACCGGGGCUAUACUGCCACUGUGUGGCAGCAUGCAGAACUGCAGCUGAGCCUACAUCGGGCCCUUGGAGAGUCUGUUGCAUUGAAGAGGAGUGGUCCAGAAGGAGUCAGCUGGAGACGUUGUUACCACUGGCCCUAUCCCAGAUCCCCUGAGUUAGAAGCUCGGGGAGGGGCCUGGGAGUCUGCAUUGAAACUUGCUUCCUGUGUGGUUCUUAUGGAGGACUGGUUGACUUCAUUUAUAGGAUCCAGGGCAAAAUAAAAAUAUGGAGUCCCUUAUUCAGAAAUUAUUAAGAAUGUCAAGACAGAAAUAGCAGAACAUUAAACUAAGUGUCAGCCUUGUAUGACUGCAUGGGUCAUGCCCACGGGGCUAUCCCUCUUCUUAUGCUCUCUACAUUUGGACAGUCACCACUGUCAUCCCUGAAUCUGUUUGAUGUGUCUUGAAUACUAACUACAUAAUAAGAUGUGGUGGUUAAAAGCGUAACCAUGGAGGUGAGGUAGUCUUUGAACAGAAUCAGACUCUUGAGUUAUGUGCCUUUGGACAUAUUUCUAACCUCUGUGAAUCUCAUUUACUUCCUCUUUAAAUAUUGGGAUAGUUUCUAUCUUAAAAGACUUGCU
Molecule: long non-coding RNA, 1021 nt
Filed under: Homo sapiens (human)
Lineage: Eukaryota; Metazoa; Chordata; Mammalia; Primates; Hominidae
Description: HSALNT0308892
Source: RNAcentral